AGUCGAGGGGUAUUUAUCUUCGGAUAGAGAGACCGGCGCACGGGUGCGUAACGCGUAUGCAAUCUAUCUUUUACAGAGGGAUAGCCCAGAGAAAUUUGGAUUAAUACCUCAUAGUAUAUAGACUCGGCAUCGAGAUUAUAUUAAAGUCACAACGGUAAAAGAUGAGCAUGCGUCCCAUUAGCUAGUUGGUAAGGUAACGGCUUACCAAGGCUACGAUGGGUAGGGGUCCUGAGAGGGAGAUCCCCCACACUGGUACUGAGACACGGACCAGACUCCUACGGGAGGCAGCAGUGAGGAAUAUUGGACAAUGGGCGCAAGCCUGAUCCAGCCAUGCCGCGUGCAGGAUGACGGUCCUAUGGAUUGUAAACUGCUUUUAUACGAGAAGAAACACUACUUCGUGAAGUAGCUUGACGGUAUCGUAAGAAUAAGGAUCGGCUUACUCCGUGCCAGCAGCCGCGGUAAUACGGAGGAUCCAAGCGUUAUCCGGAAUCAUUGGGUUUAAAGGGUCCGUAGGCGGUUUAAUAAGUCAGUGGUGAAAGCCCAUCGCUCAACGGUGGAACGGCCAUUGAUACUGUUAAACUUGAAUUAUUAGGAAGUAACUAGAAUAUGUAGUGUAGCGGUGAAAUGCUUAGAGAUUACAUGGAAUACCAAUUGCGAAGGCAGGUUACUACUAAUGGAUUGACGCUGAUGGACGAAAGCGUGGGUAGCGAACAGGAUUAGAUACCCUGGUAGU
This 733-nucleotide ribosomal RNA is filed under the name uncultured Bacteroidota bacterium. RNAcentral describes it as "bacterial SSU rRNA". It matches the Rfam family "Bacterial small subunit ribosomal RNA", at positions 60 to 794 of the family's 1533-position model. Lineage: Bacteria; Pseudomonadati; Bacteroidota. The record is from RNAcentral.